AUAUAAGAAAUGAUAUAAUCAUGUGUGAUUUCGGCUCAUAUUUAGGUGUUAACACCCUUAUAUU
This 64-nucleotide transfer RNA is filed under the name Heteroteuthis hawaiiensis. RNAcentral's name for it is "tRNA-Arg". Lineage: Eukaryota; Metazoa; Mollusca; Cephalopoda; Sepiida; Sepiolidae. The record is from RNAcentral.